This 618-nucleotide long non-coding RNA is filed under the name Mus musculus (house mouse). Its description in RNAcentral is "long non-coding RNA chr11:16236928-16237546". Lineage: Eukaryota; Metazoa; Chordata; Mammalia; Rodentia; Muridae. The record is from RNAcentral.
AUGGCACCCAGCCGGAAUGGCAUGAUCUUGAAGCCCCACUUCCACAAGGCUUGGCAGCAGCAAAAAGAAAAUUGGUUCAACCAGCCAGCAGACAAGAUCCUCAGAUGCAAUGUCUGGCAGGCAAAAGCACACCGCAUUGUCCCUCAUCCCACAUCCGGUCCCAUCAGGCUCAUCGUGAGGUACCCUACAGUUAGAUAUUACAAGAAGAUCCGGGCAGGCAGGGGCUUCAGCCCGGGGAACUCAGGGUGGCUGGUAUCCACGAGAAAAUAACUUGCACCAUCAGCACCCAUGGAGGCAAAACAAAUCCACUGACUCACAAUACGUCAACUUGUACACCUGAGGAGUACCGCUCCAAGCUCAUACUUUCCCCAGGAAGCCUUCUGCUCCAAAGAAGGGAGACAGUUCUGCUGAAGAACUUAAAUUAGCCAUCCAGCUAACAGGACCUGUGAUGCCCAUCCAGAAUGUGUACCAAAAGGAAAAGGCCAGAGUCAUCACAGAAGAAGAGAAGAACUUCAAGGCUUUGCCAGUCUCCUCAUGAUCUGUGCCAAUGCCCGGCUCUUUGGCAUCCGAGCAAAAGGGGCGAAGGAACCUGCAGAGCAAGAUGUUGAAAAGAAAUAA